GACGAACGCUGGCGGCGUGCUUAACACAUGCAAGUCGAACGGAAAGGCCCUGCUUUUGUGGGGUGCUCGAGUGGCGAACGGGUGAGUAACACGUGAGUAACCUGCCCUUGACUUUGGGAUAACUUCAGGAAACUGGGGCUCAUACCGGAUAGGAGCUCCUGCUGCAUGGUGGGGGUUGGAAAGUUUCGGCGGUUGGGGAUGGACUCGCGGCUUAUCAGCUUGUUGGUGGGGUAGUGGCUUACCAAGGCUUUGACGGGUAGCCGGCCUGAGAGGGUGACCGGCCACAUUGGGACUGAGAUAGGGCCCAGACUGAUACGGGAGGCAGCAGUGGGGAAUAUUGCACAAUGGGCGGAAGCCUGAUGGAGCAACGCCGGGUGCGGGAUGACGGCCUUCGGGUUGUAAACCGCUUUCGCCUGUGACGAAGCGUGAGUGACGGUAAUGGGUAAAGAAGCACCGGCUAACUACGU
RNAcentral lists this ribosomal RNA (467 nucleotides) under uncultured bacterium. RNAcentral's name for it is "partial 16S ribosomal RNA". It matches the Rfam family "Bacterial small subunit ribosomal RNA", at positions 28 to 506 of the family's 1533-position model. The record is from RNAcentral.